This is a long non-coding RNA of Ornithorhynchus anatinus (platypus), 282 nucleotides long. RefSeq lists it as uncharacterized. NCBI's taxonomy places the organism in Eukaryota, Metazoa, Chordata, Mammalia, Monotremata, Ornithorhynchidae. The record is from RefSeq and is a predicted model, not a curated record. The transcript has 3 exons.
UCCGUAUUCUUUCACUGCCCAUUCUAGCCACUGGCGGACGUGGUCUGUACUCCAUAAUGUCGGAUCUGCAAGGACAGAUCAAAUACACAAGCCCUCUGUAGACUGUAAAUGCUCGGUAAACACCAUUGAUAGAUUGAUCGCUAAAGCAGCCUGAGGAGAAAGCAGCUCACUUUGAAGGUGGCUCAUCACAACACAGCUGCCAUAGUUCAUCCCGACGCUGUCCGGGCUGUGGACCAUCUUCCCUCCCUUGGCCACGCUGCAGUCAUCGGGGGAGUUCCUGAG